UACAGAGGUCUCAAGCGUUGUUCGGAUUCAUUGGGCGUAAAGGGUGCGUAGGCGGCGCGGUAAGUCGGGUGUGAAAUCUCGGGGCUUAACUCCGAAACUGCAUUCGAUACUGCCAUGCUUGAGGACUGGAGAGGAGACUGGAAUUUACGGUGUAGCGGUGAAAUGCGUAGAUAUCUGGAGGAAUACCGGUGGCGAAGGCGGCAUCCUGGACCGACAUUGACGCUGAGGAGCGAAAGCCAGGGGAGCAAACGGG
Molecule: ribosomal RNA, 253 nt
Filed under: uncultured bacterium
Lineage: Bacteria
Description: partial 16S ribosomal RNA
Rfam family: Bacterial small subunit ribosomal RNA
Source: RNAcentral